This is a long non-coding RNA of Ictalurus punctatus (channel catfish), 11479 nucleotides long. RefSeq lists it as uncharacterized. The transcript has 4 exons. The record is from RefSeq and is a predicted model, not a curated record. NCBI's taxonomy places the organism in Eukaryota, Metazoa, Chordata, Actinopteri, Siluriformes, Ictaluridae.
UGUGGGGGGGGGGGGGGGGGGGGGGGUCGUGGCUGCUACAAGUCCCUUAAGGACGGAUCCUGACGAGUAUUUCAAACGGCACGUGAUCCACAAGGAGAGAGUUAGAUGAGGUGGCGGAAAUAUGCUAGGAUGCUACACAGAGAGAACGGACAGCGUUUUGCUUUCUAUACCCCUACUUCAGAGGUGUGGGUGGUAUCGUCCUUGUCUGUGCUGAGUUGCUAACACGGGAAACCUGGAAACCUGACAGCCAUGUGAGUACUAUAUCACUAUAAACGGCAACAUCUAUUUACCAACCUUUAUUUUCUUACGACUAAAAACCGACUGCUGAGGAAGGAAACUGUAAAAAAACAAACAAACAUUAUCAGAAUAUAUUUAAGGUCCAGCUGCGAGCCUCUCGGACAUGCUGAGCGUAGCCUUGAGUUUGUGGAUACAGUGUUUCCUCGGCAGUUCGCCUAAGAGAGGAGAUAUCUAAUCAAUAACCUUGAGGACGAUGUGAACGAUGUACGCUACGGUUACACGCAGCUGUGCCGCACUCACGUCUGCUAUUACUCAACAUGUGACUUAUAUGAGGGUUGUAGCUUCAUCACUCUCUGUUGUACUUAGAGAGAAUAUAGCGCUUCGGUUAAACCGGUGACGAUGCAGAUGAGAUCAUACAAGUGGUGUAAGUUUCGUUUCAACUGUUGGUGGGGAUGAAGGACUGAUUGCACCCAAUCCAUCGUAUCAUUAAAGUUUAUUAAAAAGUACUCGAUAUUAACAAUAAAGUUUACAUUUAUGGCAUCUGGCAGACGCGCUUAUCAAGAGCGACUUAUAUUUAUCUUUCAUACAACUGAGCCAUUGAGGGGAUUUGAACUCACAACCAUCUGAUCAGUAGUCCAAUGUCUAAACCACUGAGCAGGGAACCAGUAAAGUUAUUUUUUGCUUAGGAUAGUGUAUAUUACACUAAAGAAUGUGCCGGUAAUUCAGUACGCAAAAUAUUAGCAAUUUAACUCUCACUAGUAGGGGAUGCAUCAAUACCAUUCGGUUUUUUUUUCAGAAAGAGUGCAAGUACAUGUGUUUUGGUACUCAAUGUAACCUGAGCGUGCAGAAUAUUAUCAGUGAGCCAUGAAUCUCAACAACUCAAGUGUAGAUCUUAGCGAGUGAAAAGGAAGGAAGCUCGCGUACUCAGUGAGUACUCAGUGCUCGCACGACUGAAGUGCUCUCACACACGACGAUUAAGAUGCUUUAUCAGGUUUUUUGUAUUCCAGAAAUAUGUACAGAUCGCUGUAAUUUCAUGUCAUUAGGAACUUGUGAACUCAACAGGAACUUAUUUAACCUUAGCAUAAGGAAACAUUAAAGACUGAGUCCAAGAUUGUAAUAUUGAAUAAACUGCAUCCAAUUCAUUUGUAAUUGUUAUUAAAAAAUACUGACGAUUUUCUGAUAUAAAUAAGAAAAUUGUAUUGUGUAAUUUAUCAUGAUAUAGAUAUUAUAUACUUAUAAUACUCAGCCCUAUUCAUAGCUACUAAAUAAUUAGCCAUGCUAGCAUCCAUCCUUCCAUUUUACAAACCGCUUAUCCUACACGGGGUCACGGGGGAGCCUGGAGCCUAUCCCAGGGCACAAGGUGGGGGACACCCUGGAUGGGGUGCCAAUCCUACACACAUUCACACACUACGGACAAUUCGGAAAUGCCAAUGAGCCUACAAUGCAUGUCUCUGGACCGGGGGAAGAGUACCCAGAGGAAACCCCAGAAGCACAGGGAGAACAUGCAAGAACUGCGCACACAGGGUGGAGGUGGGAUUCGAAUCCACAACCCCGGAGGUGAGAAUGAACGCCAAACGGUGACGUGGGAUUAUUUACUAACUUCCAGGAACAUACAAGUCUUUCCUGAUGAGACCCCCUGCACUCGAAAGAAGACAGGAUGACUACAGCUCUCCUUGACUGAGAACGAGAAACCGAACAGAGACAGGGUGACAGGGGUCAUCGUAACCGACAGCCCGGCCCCAAACAAUAGAAAAGUGGCAAACACAGGAAGAGCACAUCUGCCAGAGAGAGUGGACAGAGAGCACGGAGCCAAAUGGAGAGAUGACAGCUGAGAAUAAAAUAAGCCUCUCAAAAAAAAAAGAAAGAAAGAAAACAAAUUACAUAAUAAUAAAUAAUAAAAAAAAUAGUUUUAAUUCUUUUUGUUUUUACAAAUAUAACAAAUAUUCUCAUUCAAAUACACAGAAUGGCUUUUAAACAUUUGAAACAUUCUUCUUCUCCUUUGUCUUAUUAUUAUUAUUAUUAUUAUUAUUAUUACAACUUUACUAUUAUAUAAAUAAAAAUGAUAACUGUGAACUAAUAUACACAGUUAAUAUAUCCCCCAUUCAACUACAAUGAGUACAAAAUAUAUAUAACAUAGAGUAAUAAUAAAGCUCUUUUAUAAUAAUUAAGGAAUUGGCCUUUUAUUAAGGAUUUAUUUGAUAUUGUAUAUAAAAUGUGAAAUAUGCAUUUUUAAACAUUACAAACGAAACAUUAAUAAAGUUAUUAUGCAACAAUUAUUUUUACAUGAAUAAUAACUAUCUUACAUGAAUAAUGAAUAGUCAUGAUAAAAAUAGAAAUAUGUCAUAAUGCUUAUGGUUAAUACUGUUACGGUUAAUACUGUGUGUGUGUGUGUGUGUGUGUGUGUGUGUGUGUGUGUGUGUGUGUGUGUGUGUAUAUACAUUACAGUUAUAGAUGACUGGCUUUCACACACACAAGCAGUGAAGCACAUAUAGAAUGUGGAGUGAUCGAUAUAUGAGGGCCAGAGAUAUGCUAUAGGGAAACUGUAAACUGAGACCCACAUACACACUCACACACAUACACACACACAGUUCUGUUUUCUGUACACACGCACACACAUACACACACACACACACACACACACAAAGUUCUGUUUUCUGUACACACACACACACAAUUCUGUUUUCUGUACACACACACACACACACACACACACACACACACACACAAGGUGCAAAGUGCUGACCAUGCGUCUCACUUUUCCAUGUCUAUAUGUUCCAUAUGUUCUAACGCCCUCCAGGAGGACCUGUAUUACAAACCAGACAAACACCAUGAAAUAAUGAACUGCCACUAAUAUUAACAUAGUAAUAAUAAUAAUAAUAAUAAUAAUAAUUUUGGCAAAGUACUGAUGUGCUACACUACAAGCAAAGUAGAGCUCGUAAAUCUAGGUACCAGCAUAUUAUACUGUUUUAUUGUUGAAAACCACAACCUUAAAGAUGGUGCUGGUGUCCUGUUCUGCAUCACACUCAGAAUACGGCAUCAGACAUACACCAGGUCUCUUAUCCUGCUGCUGCCAAGCUAAACAGCAUUGACAUCUACAGCAGGUACAUGACAAGGGGUGGGCGAUGUGGCCGAAAUGGAAAUAUCACUGCGCUUUUUCAGACUACACAAUGUGUGUCAUGAGAUUGAGGUUUUCCUGAUAUUUGAUAACAAGAUGCGGAGUAGACCAAACAGCAAAACAGUUAAAAGCCUGUUCGAGUAUUUAAAAAAUAACAUCUCACUGAGCUGAAAGCCAACGCUCGCUGUAAUACAUCUUUAGUUGCUUAAUGUUGUUUAUACCACAGCACUCGAAUUCUCAAAGCUGAUUGGUCACAAGUUGAUUCAUUUUCUAUGACGAGCUCUGGCUGUAGUAGUUCUGGCUGUAAGGCAAAUCAUAGGUUUAUGUUAAUUCUAAUACAAUAUAAUAAUUCUAUAGUAACAACUAUAAAAGGGACUUGUAUAGUUGUUAUUUAACAAAGACAAAUGUAUAAUCGUUGAUAUGCUGACGUUAUCCUCAGGUUUAAUGGAAGGAGUCUCCAGUGUCGGCAUUGUAACAGUCAGAGGUAUAAUCUCUAGACUUUGCGUUUUCCAGUUUCUCUGCAACAUGACAAGCGAAAUCUUUUUGUCUUAUUAACUUCGGGAGAUAAAAGAGAUUUUGGUAAAGGAAUGACUGGUUAUAGCUACUAUAAUAAGUGAUAACAGGAACUAACUUGUUCUAUGGACGUUUCACAACAUUUAUUGUAAUUAUAAACGUGUAUAUAUAUAUUAGAGCUGCGACAAUUAAUCAAUAAAAUCGAUAAUAAUCGAUUAUGAAAAUUUUUGUCAACGAAUGUCAUUAUCAUUUAGUCACUCUGCGUGUGGCACGGGGUACAUUUACUCACUACGUUACUUCUGUUCCGGAAACAUGCUUCGGAGAUUAAAUAUUAAAGUUGCGCCCCGAAUGACAUACUAUACACUUACACUAUGCACUGUGUACACUACCGUCUAGUGUAUGAAUUUUACAAAGGUAACAUCAUCUAAAAAAGAAAACUAGCUGGUUUUUUUACUAACCGGAAGUAUAAGCCGCUUCCUAGUCGACGGCGCAUGACGUCAUACGCACGUAAUGUGACGCAGCUAGCUUCAGCAGCCACCCAGAGUCACUGACAAUUACUUUCUUCAGUUUACUGAUUAUAUACUUAGUUACAUACUUAGUUUAUAUCUAAGUAUUUAUGCAUAAUUUUUUAUGGAUGCACAAAAAGCACUGAAUUAAACUACAGUCCUAAAUGAAUAAUAUAUAUUCUGGUGUGUGUGUGUGUGUGUGUGUCUAUUGGGUUCUUUUCAGUCAUAUAUAAUUGGACAAACAGUUGUGUAAAGUUUAGACUGAAGUUUAUAUUUGUAACACUCAAUUUGUGGAUUUUAUUUUAAAUAAAUGAAAAAACGGAAGGUUUGCCCCCAUCCGAUUAUUCGGAAUAUAUAUAUAAAAAUGACAUUUCAGGGUGUACUGUUAUUGGUAAAUAAUCAACUCUGAGAUGGUAACAGUAAGUCGUUUUCACCCCACCACCCCACUGUUGAUUGUUUUUCAAUAUAAUUUAUCACCAUAAUGACAACAUUUCAUAAUCGCCCACCCUUCCCUUACCUUAGAUCUCACACAGUUACCUAGUUUCAGUGUGAUCGCUCUACACUGUGGCUUUACUGUAAACCGAUAACACCCGUGCUGAUGCUUGCAGAGCCCCCUUGGGAUUGUGGGUAAGGGAACAAUGGCGGCAGUGUUCCUCCCCUCAGCCCCCGUCCCCAACCCCAGGGAAGGCCACAGGAAUGCGCCAGCAUCUGGUCCUACCCUUAGGUAAACACAUCCCUCUCUUUCUCCAACGCUCCACCAUUAAAAUCCGCCCCGCUGAGACGUUAGGACCCUUUCACAAUAAACAUGACUUUGUUCUUUUAAACUCCUCCCACGUGGUAAAUAUUACUUUAUGUCUAAAGAGAGCACCAGUGGUUGAAAUGCUCUGGAAUUAGAUAUGGUUUCUGAAGAAAAAUAUAAAAACGAUGGAACAUGGAGUUAUGAAAUUACUGAAGUUUGGGAGAAAAAAAAGACGCCUUCUUCCUGGUUAACGUCCUAUAAAUUCCCAUCUCUUUUUCUACUUGUGACAAAAGUUUACACACCCACCACCUCCCCACCGCUUCCCUACUCUUCAGCAACUCCUAUUUGAGACAUUUUUUUGUGUGAGAUUGAGGUUCUCAUAGUUCUCUUCCAAUUUUUUUACAGUCAAUCUCGCAAUCACUCUUUGCGUUAUUAAGUCGAAACAUGUCGUAUUAUCUGGAUUCACCAACCUAUUUUUAGCAGUGUCAAGUGAAUGACAUAUUUAACCGGCAGUCAAUUUGGAAGCAAAAAAAUCAGUAGCAAGCCAUCUGGAUUCUUGAUAAAGUUGAUAACUAGACGAUAUACAAUGAUGGGUGUCUAUGGUAGUACGGUGCUCAUUUUCCAUUGUAUUCCAUUUGUGUUUUUGUUUAAAUACGCUAAAAAUGGAAUCGGGAAAACGUGUAAGUGAAUUGAGAAAUGUUUUUGGUUAAAUGUUUAAUGAAGUAAGAAAUGUUAGAAUUCUUUUUUCAUUGGAACCAUCUAGAUCUAAUCUAAUUGGAAAAGGCCAACAACUUUAUCACUCUAAUUAGGCACCGUUUUACAGUUAAUACUAAUGCUGUCUAGGAGUUUAUAAUCUAUAGGCACAACAGAUUUAAAUAAAGCACUCAUUUAGACUUUGAGAGCAAGCAGUUAAUAAGACUUAGUUUCCUCUAUUUAAUUCUGUAUCAUUUUGUUUGGUCUGUGGGUCUGUAAUAAAACAUAAGGAACUCCAGGGGUUCAAAAUGUUUUGAGUAGCAGCGUAUGUACCUGAUAAAAGAGCUCAUUGAAAAAAAAAAACUUUAUCAUAAAAAUCCAAUAUUAAAAAUCCUUGUGUAAUUAUUACAUGAAACCCAAAAUUUUCACCAUGAUGACCUUUCAUGAACAUUUUGGGUCACCUUGUGCUCAGUGUACUGACGCUGAGAACAAAAGGUUAGUCUCUAGGCAGAUUGGACAGCGGUGUCUCAGCAUGGCUAUAAUGAUUACAAAGCGUAUUGAUUUAUUGACUAUAGCCAAACAAACCACACCCAUACACAGAAAAAUCCCUGGAUGGACUCAAUGCUAAAAAAAAAAAAAAAAAGGAAGACCAUGCAAAUUGAAAUGCAAGGCAGAUUAAAGGAGGAGUGUGUGUUUGUGCUUGUGUAUGUGUGUGUGCAGUCCAGAAAUGACUUCCUUUCCCUCUCUUUCUCUGGGAUGUAUCCGCAUCCUGAGACUCGGCAGAACGAAAUUCCUUAGACGUCAUGUGUGUUAAAUACGUGAUGAGGGCCAAUGAGGUCACAGCAUCGUGUUCAGGAGCGGUCUCCUUUUCAACUUCUGUGCGUAGGUCCAAAAUGAAUUGAAAAAAGCGAAACAAAAAGAGGACUCGUCUAUGCGUUUGGAACAAAAGAUCCGACUCGACAGACAGAAUAAUACAUGCAUAUCAUCUAAAAUGAUCCCUUUUCUCUAAAAUACUAGACCAAAUAUGUACACGCUCGUGUUUUCCACGAGUCACUAGAUUAUGUUAACAUUGUACUGUACUGUAUAUUUGCCUUCCAUAUUAAACAUGACAAACCGGCAGCUCUUGCAGCGAGAAACAUUGGCACUCACUUCUCAAAGAAUAUAAAUGAGGGAAGGAAGACGUCUCAGUGGGAAAACGGCAGUCUUGUGAGGAACACGGCGCUGCUGGUCAGGUUCCUGGAUUACGAUGUGUCACUGCACGUUCAGCUGCGAUUAAUUAGGCCAAAAUUUGUUUGAAAAGGUAUUCCACUAGGCUGGGCUGACAUGCAGGAACAAGUAAGAGAGUUAAAUGGUAUUAUACCAUGGUGCUGUUGAAUGCUGGAUUCUGAUUGGUCAAAAGGUGUUGAUUCAUUUUCUGUAAUAGCAGCUCUGACAGUAGUUCUGGCUGCAAGUCUUCGAGUAAUGCUCUUGUUCUCUUCUAAUACGUUAUCGUUUGUCCUAAUCGUAUAGCAGGAGUCGUAUAGCGGGCGGCAUGCGUUUUUCUGUAAGGAGAUGUUUAUUUAACAUCUCCAGUGUCAGCGCUUUGUAAAACUCAGAGGUAAAGUUUUCCUUACAUGAAGGACUUCAGGACAGAGACGUUUACGUUUACCUUUCGCACUUUCUUGAUAACCAGUGAGGCUUUUUGCCUUAGUAACUUCAAAGAGGAAUGUUUAUAGCUGCUAUAACGUAAGUGACAAGGGCAAAUUGUCUAUAAGAUUCAACAUUACCAUGAAAAAACGAAAACAUGCUGUUCUAGGAAAAUGAUCAACUUCAGGGUGGUAACUGAAACGAUUUGCAUUGGGCUGCAUUACCGCUGUUAUUGAGUAUGAAUUGCAUCAUUGUUUUGGUUGACCCAAUGAUCCAAGACUAAAAGCGAAUUCCAUGUUGAAUGUAUGCUGGUACUAAGGUUGCACGGUAUUGUUAUUUCAAUACUGGUUUCUGCACCACUGUCAUCAGCAGGGAAAACCGCAUGGGUGUUUUGACGUUUAAUUGUAGCAUACGGAAAUAAAACUUCAGGUGAGACGUGUAGAAUCACAAUCACGGUAUAGCGAUAGACACAUGGAGCGGCUUGAAUUUCACUCUUAGCUGCACUUUACUACACCAAGUGUGGACAUGAUAUAGUGUUCUUGUGCACGGUCCGUUAAGUGGUGAGUUGUGCUCUUAUGUGGUGGAGAAAAUUUUUCCUGGUAUGUCUGUGCAAUGCCACUUAAUAGAAAUAGAAAUAAUAUUUCACACUGUUAAGAAAGCAGAACACUUCGGUAUAGUUUUCAUGCUCUGCUGCUCUGGAGAGUUCAGCAAACACGAUGUUCUGUUAAUGCAUGCUUCAGCGAAAGCAAAAUGAAAGUUCUGCUCACUCUUGUCUCUCCACAAUGGAGCAAAUGGAGCGCUGAUUCCGCCUGGCGUCUCCAUUCGUUUUUCGUUUGGGUUCGUUCUCACUUUCUUUCACACACAAAGCAGAUUUUCACCUCGCCAUUUUCCCACUCAUGCUGCUUCACAGCCAAGGCUCAAACAGCUCCAUUCUGUUUCUUUGAGUCACUUCCACCGGUGACACUAACAACUCCAUUCAACUGUUUCUCCAUUGCUGGAGCAAAGGGUCAGACUGCACAGACAGGCCAUGACACCCACUGAGUAAAUCAUGCUGGGAAAAAGGCUGGGAACUCGGCACACACAUAACAUGCCUUAGGCUGACAGAGAAUCUUCUAGAGUUCUGUGUCUGUGCUCGGAGACCAUGGCCCCGCCAACAGCUGAACAGACGGCCAUGGACUGAGCCAGGCUGCAAGAAGUGGCGGACUGGCAGGGCUGCAUGUGGAGGGCUUCAACAUGGAUCCUGGAAGAUCCCCCACAGCAUGCUCGCAGAAGAACAGCUGAGGCAUCUCCAGGAGGCUCUAAAAGUCCUAGUCCGCUAACAAGGACUGUUGAUUCACAUUAUCAUGAAAACUAAAAUAUAUGCACUGGAAAGGGUACUUUGGUUCAUCCCUUGAGGUUCUAUGGGGUUCGUACCGUUUCUUUGUGAAAUAUAAUUUAUUUUUAAAUCUACCAGAAUUUAUUUUUUCAUCUGAAAGAUAAAGAAGUUUAAAGAUAACUAUAGAACCGUCUUGAUAGGGUCUUCCUCCAGUAAAAGAAUGUCAUUUUUUUCCCUAAAAAGGUUGUGUAAAUUUCCAUAGUGGAUCUCAGUGACUUUAAAUGUCAUAUAUUACAGACAUUUCAGACAUGUAGAUGAUGUAGAACCCUACACCAGAGAGUUUUCAGAAAAGGUUCCAAGCAGAAAUCGUUUAGAAAGAAAUCUAUUAACCAUAGAAAGAAACCUUGAUGAAUCCUUUGUUCUAUAUACUGUAUAUAAACACCCAGUCACUGACCUGUCACACUUUUUUUACCCCCAAAUCAGGAUUUUGGCCAAUUCGCUCCCACUAGCUAGCUCGCAUUCUAUGUCACAGGAAACUGAGCACUUGUAGGAAAAUACUAACUGCCCUCUUCUGCAUACACAAGCUCACAGAUGCACACAGCUGUCACUCUGAUUGACAGGGGAGACAGUAAUUCCAUGGUUUGCAGUUCUCUCUCUUGGACUUCCGGCCAUGAAAUUGUCAUCUCUCAAUGAUAGGAACACUUUUCUGUUGCGCCACUUGAAUAGAGUUCUGCAAAAAUGAGUCCUAAAACCCGGAAAUGAGUUAGCAUUUUAGCACUAAAAUAAUUGAUGGAAACAUCCUACUGGAUUUUUGUCGAGGGAACCAAGGUGAUGCUAACUUCUGGGUUGGCCUACAAAAAUGCAUCAUUUUUGUAGCACUCUAUUGUCUAGCGAUUGGCAGUAUAAGCAACAAUUUGCAUUUCUUUUCCAUAAUAGAAGCGUUUUUGGUAGUUUAUCUUUUUUAAACUGUUCCAGUAAAGAGUUAAUUGGACACACCCAUCGUCCAAGUGGAGCCAUCCAAGAAAUAUUCAUAAUUCAAUUUUGUUAUGAAGUUGUUAUGGUUGCACACAUAUCCAGAAUAAUCCGGAUUUUCCCUUGUGCGACCUGUAAGCUGUAGGCCAGCCGUGUGCAUUAUACACUGUCUGGGAUGCUCUGGUUUGUUUCUACAUGUUGGCAAUAGAAGUAGAUAUGGCCCAUUUGUCUUGGCUGAUAUAUACUGUCCUGAGAGUCUGGGGAAAGUGUUAGCGAAGCUUAGGAUCUUUUCUAACUGUGUAGUAAUAUUCAGCGCACCAAGUCAAGGGUAAAUUUUAAUAUAUUUAUGCAUGAUUAAACAAAUCAGUAUAUCUUUCCUGAGAAUAUACGUUUGUAUGACUGAGUAUAAAGGGCCAACACACUAGAGUGCUCUCAAAGAGGUACAGUAUGUCAGAGAUGAAAGGUCAAGUCGUCGUCUUUCAGUCUUUAAGUUUCCUGUCGUUAAGUGCUUUAUGAUUUGGGACAGGGCGAGUGCAUGGUUUACUGAUUACCAAGAGAGAGUCAUCUGUCCAGCUCUUUCCUGGUGUGAUCUUUAGCUCUGAAAGUAGACCGGACACAGUUCUUGAGCUUGCACAAUUCGGAUCCCUCCUCUAAACUGAGCUCAGUACUAAUAAAUACAUUUCCAACUAAAGGAUCAGAUUUAUUUAAAAAAAAUAAUAAUAAUUGUAUCUCAGAUGGACUUUGUACACAGACUCAGUUAAUGUGUCUAUUCAAUAGAAAAUGCUGAUUUUAAAAAAACAAAACAAAACAAAAAAAAACAAUAAUGGUAGUGCUCCAGUUUCGGUGAAGUUAUACAUAGACGUAAAAGACAAACCAAUUCAAGGACAAAGUCGUGAAAAGCAAAAAGCCAAAAAAAAAAAGUGUGUGUAUGAGUGUGUCAGACUGACUGGAGCACUCCCACUGUUCAGUCCAGCUUGGCUGCAUCAUAAUCAUCGUACCAUUAUCAUAAGGGAUCUACUUGUCUAGAUAUGACAAAAUGAUACAAUUAUUUAAAUUUCCUUCCACUCUGACUGACCUUUUUGACACAUUAAAUUCAGCUCUUAAGCUUUUAUGACUACCAAACAUAGUCACUGCUGCUGCCAUUUCAUCACUCAGUGACAACAAAAGGACAGUAGCACUAAAAAAAAGUAGCUCUUUUGUUUCUUUCCUGUGUCUUGUUGAAUAGAAUGUUGUUCAAGAGUAAAGCCAUAUAUAUCGCAUAUGGUUAAGGACACCACUGGUACCAUGAACCACAAAUACUACAGGCAGGCUGAACAAAAACAACCGCUCCCACCAUCCUCGGCUUGCCAUUGUUGUGCAUGACGGACCCAUUCAGACUACCCUGUGUAUUUGCUUUUGCUUUAGGGAGGAGGGGGAGUCCAACGUAGUCUUGGAACGUUUGUAAUGAAACUCGUACAUACACGGAAGACAAUUUUUUUUUUUCUGUCUUGGCUUUCUUACUAAUCCUGUCUGAAACUCAUCCUCUCCUAGACUGAUCCAAGGAAAGCAUCAGACAAAUCUACCUCACCCCUCAACCCCUCCUUCCUUCUAGGAUUAUGAGCCAGCAGAGAUAGAAAAACAGCAAGACAUGUUCCAAGGUUGCUCCUUUCGAUCCCAUGUCUUAAAUUAGAAAACAGUACCUCAGUAAGACCAUGUUCACUUAAGUCAUUUGAGCACGAACACAUGGCAACGGCUGUAAACAACCGAGCCCGACCUGCAAGAGC